RNAcentral lists this ribosomal RNA (497 nucleotides) under uncultured bacterium. Its description in RNAcentral is "partial 16S ribosomal RNA". It matches the Rfam family "Bacterial small subunit ribosomal RNA", at positions 28 to 507 of the family's 1533-position model. The record is from RNAcentral.
GAUGAACGCUGGCGGCGUGCCUAAUACAUGCAAGUCGAGCGAACAGACGAGGAGCUUGCUCCUCUGCCGUUAGCGGCGGACGGGUGAGUAACACGUGGAUACCCUACCUAUAAGACUGGGAUAACUUCGGGAAACCGGAGCUAAUACCGGAUAAUAUAUUGAACCGCAUGGUUCAAUAGUGCAAGCCGGUUUUGCUGUCACUUAUAGAUGGAUCCGCGCCGCAUUAGCUAGUUGGUAAGGUAACGGCUUACCAAGGCUACGAUGCGUAGCCGACCUGAGAGGGUGAUCGGCCACACUGGAACUGAGACACGGUCCAGACUCCUACGGGAGGCAGCAGUAGGGAAUCUUCCGCAAUGGGCGAAAGCCUGACGGAGCAACGCCGCGUGAGUGAUGAAGGUCUUCGGAUCGUAAAACUCUGUUAUUAGGGAAGAACAAAUGUGUAAGUAACUAUGCACGUCUUGACGGUACCUAAUCAGAAAGCCACGGCUAACUACGUG